GGUGCUUGCACUAGAAAAACUUAGCGGCGAACGGGUGAGUAACACGUAAAGAACCUGCCUCAUAGACGGGGACAACUAUUGGAAACGAUAGCUAAUACCGGAUAACAGCAUAAAUCGCAUGAUAUAUGUUUAAAAGUUGGUUUCGGCUAACACUAUGAGAUGGCUUUGCGGUGCAUUAGCUAGUUGGUGGGGUAAAGGCCUACCAAGGCGACGAUGCAUAGCCGACCUGAGAGGGUGAUCGGCCACACUGGGACUGAGACACGGCCCAGACUCCUACGGGAGGCAGCAGUAGGGAAUCUUCCGCAAUGGGCGAAAGCCUGACGGAGCAACGCCGCGUGAGUGAAGAAGGAUUUCGGUUCGUAAAGCUCUGUUGUUAGGGAAGAAUGAUUGUAUAGUAACUAUAUACAGUAGAGACGGUACCUAACCAGAAAGCCACGGCUAACUACGUGCCAGCAGCCGCGGUAAUACGUAGGUGGCAAGCGUUGUCCAGAAUUAUUGGGCGUAAAGCGCGCGCAGGUGGUUUAAUAAGUCUGAUGUGAAAGCCCACGGCUCAACCGUGGAGGGUCAUUGGAAACUGUUAAACUUGAGUGCAGGAGAGAAAAGUGGAAUUCCUAGUGUAGCGGUGAAAUGCGUAGAGAUUAGGAGGAAC
This 649-nucleotide ribosomal RNA is filed under the name uncultured Bacilli bacterium. RNAcentral's name for it is "bacterial SSU rRNA". It matches the Rfam family "Bacterial small subunit ribosomal RNA", at positions 75 to 707 of the family's 1533-position model. Lineage: Bacteria; Bacillati; Bacillota; Bacilli. The record is from RNAcentral.